AUAGCGUAUAUUAAAGUUGUUGCAGUUAAAAAGCUCGUAGUUGAACUUCAGACCCGGCUGGAUGGUCUGCCUAACGGUAUGUACUGUCCGGCUGGGCCUUACCUCUUGGUGAGCCGGCAUGCCCUUCACUGGGUGUGUCGGGGAACCAGGACUUUUACCUUGAGAAAAUUAGAGUGUUCAAAGCAGGCCUAUGCUCGAAUACAUUAGCAUGGAAUAAUAGAAUAGGACGUGCGGUUCUAUUUUGUUGGUUUCUAGAGUUGCCGUAAUGAUUAAUAGGGAUAGUUGGGGGCAUUAGUAUUCCGUUGCUAGAGGUGAAAUUCUUGGAUUUACGGAAGACUAACUUCUG
RNAcentral lists this ribosomal RNA (346 nucleotides) under uncultured eukaryote. RNAcentral's name for it is "SSU rRNA". It matches the Rfam family "Eukaryotic small subunit ribosomal RNA", at positions 594 to 945 of the family's 1831-position model. The record is from RNAcentral.